GAUGAACGCUGGCGGCGUGCCUAAUACAUGCAAGUCGAGCGAACAGACGAGGAGCUUGCUCCUCUGACGUUAGCGGCGGACGGGUGAGUAACACGUGGAUAACCUACCUAUAAGACUGGGAUAACUUCGGGAAACCGGAGCUAAUACCGGAUAAUAUAUUGAACCGCAUGGUUCAAUAGUGAAAGACGGUUUUGCUGUCACUUAUAGAUGGAUCCGCGCCGCAUUAGCUAGUUGGUAAGGUAACGGCUUACCAAGGCAACGAUGCGUAGCCGACCUGAGAGGGUGAUCGGCCACACUGGAACGGAGACACGGUCCAGACUCCUACGGGAGGCAGCAGUAGGGAAUCUUCCGCAAUGGGCGAAAGCCUGACGGAGCAACGCCGCGUGAGUGAUGAAGGUCUUCGGAUCGUAAAACUCUGUUAUUAGGGAAGAACAAAUGUGUAAGUAACUAUGCACGUCUUGACGGUACCUAAUCAGAAAGCAACGGCUAACUACGUG
This 497-nucleotide ribosomal RNA is filed under the name uncultured bacterium. RNAcentral describes it as "partial 16S ribosomal RNA". It matches the Rfam family "Bacterial small subunit ribosomal RNA", at positions 28 to 507 of the family's 1533-position model. The record is from RNAcentral.